Molecule: regulatory RNA element, 130 nt
Rfam family: PyrR binding site
About the family: This family represents the PyrR binding site and terminator structure. This RNA structure is found upstream of a variety of genes involved in pyrimidine biosynthesis and transport.
Source: Rfam
AACACCUUUUAAUAUGGUCCAGAGAGUCUAAGAAGGGUGAAUUUGAACAAGACAUGCGGGAUUUUACCGCACUGUCACUGUUGGUAUGUUCAAAAACACCCUGUCGGGAAGAUGACAGGGUGUUUUUUUU